RNA transcript from Rattus rattus (black rat), 2602 nucleotides. It is a transcript of the gene named serine and arginine rich splicing factor 5, with no coding region annotated. NCBI's taxonomy places the organism in Eukaryota, Metazoa, Chordata, Mammalia, Rodentia, Muridae. The record is from RefSeq and is a predicted model, not a curated record. The transcript has 8 exons.
UUUGUGAACGUCCGAGCUGCUAAGUGCGUCAGUUGUGGAGAGACGUAGAGGAGUUGAGUUCGUGUGUGUAGGGAGGCAGACAGCUCCGUCGCAGACUACGGACCUCUCCGGGUCUCAGCCGUCAAAGACCCUGUCCGGUAGGUGAGUGGCUCGCUUUGAGGGCAAGGCUUCUCGGAUCGAGGCUUCUUCAUGGCCGCUCGGGUCGCGAGCGGCCGGGGCUUCGCUCUUUGCGGAGGACGGCGUCUAACAGAGCGCAGUUGAUUGAGGAAACACUAGCCGGGCAUCAUGAGUGGCUGUCGAGUGUUCAUUGGGAGACUAAAUCCCGCAGCAAGGGAGAAAGAUGUGGAAAGAUUCUUCAAGGGUUACGGACGGAUCAGAGAUAUUGAUUUGAAAAGAGGUUUUGGUUUUGUGGAAUUUGAGGACCCAAGGGAUGCAGAUGACGCUGUUUAUGAACUUGAUGGGAAGGAACUUUGCAGUGAAAGGGUUACUAUUGAACAUGCUCGGGCUCGGUCUCGAGGUGGAAGAGGUAGAGGACGAUACUCCGACCGUUUUAGCAGUCGCAGACCUCGAAAUGAUAGACGAAAUGCUCCACCUGUAAGAACAGAAAAUCGACUUAUAGUUGAGAAUUUAUCCUCAAGAGUCAGCUGGCAGCCUAUCUGUGUCGUUGGCCUUAUGACGAGGAGUGCCUGUGGGUUAUCCUAAUCGUUGUCUUGGUCACUCUUGGUUGGGCCUGGUUGACUUUGCCAGUCAGCUCCUACAGUGAUCAGUUGGCCACCUCUAGAUCUGUGUUUGCCGGUCUAGACGUAAUCGGUGCACUUACUUGAAGUGCCGGGUUGCAGCGAUCCCAGAACGUUGAUAACGUGAUCUGAUCCCUAAGUUGAGAGCUGUCUUCCUGUAACGCUUCCGAAUAAGAGGUCCUGGUCGAAAGAGUUGAAAGAUACGAAAUUAGUUGGUCGUUGGAAUCCUGAUCGCAGUAAAGUGGUCCUUGGUAACUGCACACGAGUAAAACAUGUCUGCAUCGCCAGUAGUCUGCUAAUAGGGAGGGCUGUGCGAUUAAAGGCUUCCAUCGAUUGGGUAGUAUCCUUCAAGUGGGUGGCGAAGAGCCAGUCGGGCCUAUGUCAUGAAGGUUUCUCCGACCGCUUAAUGGUUUGCUGCUUGACUAGCCUAGGGAAAUGUUAAUAAAGGUAAAGUAAAUUUUUUUAAUGACAUAUGGGGCACAAAAUAACUGGUGUCUUUGUAAAUGUUGUUUUACUUUUUUUUGUUUUGUUUUUUUAAAUAUAAGACUAGUCUUUAAAGGAUGUACUGUUCCUUUUUGUUUUUUUUUUGUUGUUUGUUUUGUUUUUUUGUUUGUUUUUCCCCCUUUUUGUACUGAGCUCAGUUAGACUAAUACUAUAAUGUUAAAAACUGGAAUUUCCUCUAGCAUUUUGCUUAAAAGCAAUAUGCUAUUUGCUUAUUUCGUGCCCUGGCAUACUUUUUGAAUUCCGAUAGAAUACAAGUGUGGUAUAUGCCAUGUUUGUACUAUCUAACAACUUCUCUUCCAGUAGUCUUGUUUAUACCAUGUGGUUGUUUGUGUGUCACUUUUCCCUUUCUCUCCUUAACAUAAUUGUCUUGUGUUAAGGAUCUCAAAGAUUUCAUGAGACAAGCUGGGGAAGUAACCUUUGCGGAUGCACAUCGACCUAAACUAAAUGAAGGGGUAGUUGAGUUUGCCUCUUAUGGUGACUUAAAGAAUGCUAUUGAAAAACUUUCUGGAAAGGAAAUUAACGGGAGAAAAAUCAAAUUAAUUGAAGGCAGCAAAAGACACAGGUCAAGAAGCAGGUCACGAUCUCGGACCAGGAGUUCCUCUAGGUCCCGUAGCCGAUCCCGUUCACGCAGGAGCAAGUCUUACAGCCGAUCAAGGAGCAGGAGCCGGAGCCGGAGCAAGUCCCGUUCUGGUAGUAGGUCUCCCGUGCCUGAGAAGAGCCAGAAACGUGGUUCUUCGAGUAGAUCUAAAUCUCCAGCAUCUGUGGAUCGCCAGAGGUCCCGGUCCAGGUCCAGGUCCAGAUCAGUUGACAGUGGCAAUUAAUUAAACUGUAAAUAACUUGCCCUGGGGGCCUUUUUUUAAACAAAACAAAACAAAUUCCCAAACCAUACUUGCUAAAAAUUCUGGUAAGUAUGUGCUUUUUCUGUGGGGUGGGAUUUGGAUGGGGUUGGGCUGGAUUUCUUUGUAGAUGUGGACCACCAAGGGGUUGUUGAAAACUAAUUGUAUUAAAUGUCUUUUGAUAAGCCUUCUGCUCACACUUUUGUGACUGUCUGAAGUAUAUAGUUUGUGUAUAUUGAUAGAGCUCUUUUAUAACUAAAGCAUUUAAUUUUUUGUACUAGAAAAACUUUUGAAUAUUUUAGUUCAUUGUUCAGAUAUGUUAACUUAAGAUUAGUUUAAUUACUCAAUUAAACUAAUGAAUAGCUUUGGACACUUUAAAAGAGCUCUAAAUUUGCUUGUAUAUAAAAGCUUAGUUUGAGUUUUCCUUGUUAGGGUCAAGGGUGUCUUCUUGCCCAUUAACAGCUGUAGAUAGACUUAAAGCAGCUGUUUGUUACUGAUAAUAAAAUACUAAGUAUUAUAAAACUG